AGAGUUUGGCCUGAACUUUUGUAAAUUGUUAGGCUGUAUGAUUGUCUAGAUAUUGCACAUGCCAUACAGUACCAAUAAUGUGGGACAACAUUGUGUCAGCAGGUCAAAGUCAUCGCUAAAAACUUGCAACGGUAAUAGGCUACUAUAAAGAUAUUUAAAGUUACUGCUAUUAUCAAAUAUAUAUAUUAUAUUCUCAGACCUUUAAUGAUAGUUUAGAUGAGAUCUCCGCACG
This 232-nucleotide long non-coding RNA is filed under the name Mytilus galloprovincialis (Mediterranean mussel). The record is from RNAcentral. Lineage: Eukaryota; Metazoa; Mollusca; Bivalvia; Mytilida; Mytilidae.